Molecule: long non-coding RNA, 705 nt
Organism: Lactuca sativa (garden lettuce)
Lineage: Eukaryota; Viridiplantae; Streptophyta; Magnoliopsida; Asterales; Asteraceae
Source: RefSeq, a predicted model, not a curated record
GAGAGCCUCACGAAUUGUUAUUCUUAUUUUGAACUACCAAAAUGAUUUACAUGAUCUAAAUAAAGAAAUUUGUUCAGGUUAAAUGUAUCUAUCAUUUUCAUACCAAAAAAAAUCUAUCCUCUUUUCUUUGUAUCUUGUUUAUCAUGUCGUCAUCAACAAGGAGACAAAACCUUGAAUAAUAAAGCUCUAGACACGUCUCAAAUCUCUUCUCAGAUUGAUUGAAUCUUUCCAUCUUGUCUUCAUCUUCUAAAAAUAGGUCCACCCGUCAAUCCUAAGGUUUUGAUCUUAAUACCUUUUACUAGCAAGAUAUAUAGUCUAAAUUCUAUUGCAGCGGAUACAACGCCUUAGCAAAGUGGUCCAUUUGUUUCAAGUUGUGGCAAAUGACAUCCCGGUUCUUGUCUAAAUCCAAGGACUGAAAGCUUUGGAGUGAGAAGGAGAGGAGAUCAAGAAGAAGAAGAGGAGGUCAAGCACCUUUGAGCAAUCUCAGAGUGUUCACUAAGGUACCUCUUCAUCAAAUGGGAAGGAGCUGGCGCGGUAGCGGCACAUCAUGCACACACACUGGUUUCCGCAUUUACGAGAUUUCUCUGGGAUUUAUACUCUGAUAUUUUGAUUGGUUGUAUGAUUUGGCUUUUAGACAUGGUUUACGUUGUGAUGUGGUUUGAUCAAACAAUGUUUUUAAUUAUUAAUGUUUUCUAAAGUAAUGUU